Molecule: ribosomal RNA, 372 nt
Filed under: uncultured organism
Description: partial 16S ribosomal RNA
Rfam family: Bacterial small subunit ribosomal RNA
Source: RNAcentral
GUAGGUGGCAAGCGUUGUCCGGAAUUAUUGGGCGUAAAGCGCGCGCAGGCGGUUCUUUAAGUCUGAUGUGAAAGCCCACGGCUCAACCGUGGAGGGUCAUUGGAGACUGGAGAACUUGAGUACAGAAGAGGAAAGCGGAAUUCCACGUGUAGCGGUGAAAUGCGUAGAGAUGUGGAGGAACACCAGUGGCGAAGGUGGCUUUCUGGUCUGUAACUGACGCUGAGGCGCGAAAGCGUGGGGAGCAAACAGGAUUAGAUACCCUGGUAGUCCACGCCGUAAACGAUGAGUGCUAAGUGUUAGGGGGUUUCCGCCCCCCUUAGUGCUGCAGCUAACGCAUUAAGCACUCCGCCUGGGAGUACGGCCGCAAGGCUA